UAGGGAAUCUUCGGCAAUGGGGGCAACCCUGACCGAGCAACGCCGCGUGAGCGAAGAAGGUUUUCGGAUCGUAAAGCUCUGUUGUAAGAGAAGAACGUGUGUGAGAGUGGAAAGUUCACAUAGUGACGGUAACUUACCAGAAAGGGACGGCUAACUACGUGCCAA
Molecule: ribosomal RNA, 165 nt
Filed under: uncultured bacterium
Lineage: Bacteria
Description: partial 16S rRNA
Rfam family: Bacterial small subunit ribosomal RNA
Source: RNAcentral